CAAAACCUGCUAUGUGCGUGAGGAGUCUUUUUAAACCCACAUUUCCCAUAAGGGAUGCCAUAUUCCCCAGUGAAUUGCAGGCCUCCCGAAAAGCGGCCUUUGGCUCUUUUCGGAUGUUGGAAGCAGAGAAGUUGGGGAGAGGCGACCCACCUGCAUCUCGUGCAGGUUCUAAUCAGAUUCCCACGGCAUCAGCGGGCUGACC
RNAcentral lists this non-coding RNA (202 nucleotides) under Clostridiales bacterium. RNAcentral describes it as "6S RNA". It matches the Rfam family "6S / SsrS RNA". Rfam says of the family: E. coli 6S RNA was the first non coding RNA to be sequenced, but its function was unknown until recently. The record is from RNAcentral. Lineage: Bacteria; Bacillati; Bacillota; Clostridia; Eubacteriales.